AACAUCUCUUACGAAGGACUUUGAAACGCAGUUUCUUCCCAGCCCUGAUUUUGCUGAAGUACAACUUGUGCCGUGCCGUGUAAUACAUUUCCCUAGAGGUGGAAGUCACAAUGGCCUGCCUGACUUCCUUAAGAGGAGACAGGCCACAGACCGUCUCGCUUCCAGCUCUUUGGCAAGGUGAGAAAGAAGUCGCUUUCCACAGGGCUCUUACAGCCUAUUGGGAACCUCUCAUACAAAAGCCUGAAAUGCAGUUUGUUUCCAGCCAUGAUUUCACUGCCUUGGAAUCUCUGCUCUAAGCCAUAUCCCACUUUACUCCAGAGAUGGAAGACACAAAGCGGUGAAUCAUUGCCGCCAAAGGAGACAAGCCACAAACGCUCUUCUUUCCAGCUCUUUGGGAAGGUAAGCAACAAAUAACUCUCCACUGUGCUCUUACAGCCUACCGGGAACGUCUCUCAGAAAGAUCUGUGAAACGCAGAUUCUUCCCAACCCUGAUCUCACUGAAGUAGAACUUCUUCUCUGCCGUGAUCUACAUUGCCCUAUAGGUGCAAGGCACAAAGUCCUGCCUCGUUUCCUUCAAGUGAAGACAGCCCACAUAGCGUCUUGCUUCCAGCACUUUGGGAAUCUAAGAAACAACUCGCUCUCCACAGUUCUCCUGCAGCCUACCGGGAAAAUCUCUUACAAAGGACAGGGAAACACAGUUGCUUUCCAGCCCUGAACUCGCUGAAGUAGAAAUUGUGCUCUGCCGUGUCCUACAUUGCUCUAGAGGUGGAAGUCACAAAGUGCUGAGUCAUUGCCUCCAAAGAAGUCAAGCCACAAACGGUCUUGCUUCCAGCGCUCGGAAGCUAAGAAAUAACUGCCUCUCAAUAGUGCUCUUACAUCUACCGGGAACAUCUCUCACAAAGAUCUGUGAAACGCAGUUUCUUCCCAGCCUUGAUCUUGCUGAAGUAGAACUUCUGCUCUGCCGUGUCCUACGUUGCCCUAGAGUUGCAAGGCAAAAUGUCCUGCAUUGUUUCCUAAAGGCAGGCAAACCAGAAAGCAUCUUGCUUCCAGCUGGUUUGGAAGGUAAGAAGCAACUCACUCUCCACAGUGCUCUUAGAGCCUACCAUGAACAUCUCUUACAAAGGCCUGUGAAACGC
This 1136-nucleotide long non-coding RNA is filed under the name Equus caballus (horse). RNAcentral describes it as "lncRNA (ENSECAG00000054389.1)". Lineage: Eukaryota; Metazoa; Chordata; Mammalia; Perissodactyla; Equidae. The record is from RNAcentral.